Molecule: long non-coding RNA, 486 nt
Organism: Solanum stenotomum
Lineage: Eukaryota; Viridiplantae; Streptophyta; Magnoliopsida; Solanales; Solanaceae
Exons: 4
Source: RefSeq, a predicted model, not a curated record
UGAGAGAAUUAAUUAUUUUUGCUGUUGAAAUUGUUAUUGUUGGUGAAAUUUCUGAAGUGGGGUUGUUGAAAUCACAAUGGAUCAUGUUGUGGGUGGGAAGUUUAAGCUUGGAAGGAAGAUUAAAAGUGGUUCUUUUGGAAGUAUGGAAAUAAGGGGGUCAGCUUCUUGGCAUAUUAGGAAGCAUGGAAUUAAUUAGGAGGGCGUUUUUUUCGAUGAGGAUUCUUUGAGGUCGUAGCAGGGGUAAUUUGAUCUUGUGAUUGAACUUUUAGCUAGCCAUUUCAUUAUUUAUAAGCCCUACAGGCUUCAUCUUCUCAGGAUACAACACAACUAACUACACAGUUUUAGUUCUUGAAGCUGUUUUAGAAACAACAAUAGUUACUCUAGAACUGAAAAAUUGUACUAAAUGAUAGUUGUAGUACAAAUAGUUGUGAAUAUUAACGUGUUAUUCAUGGAUCAUGAUAAUGAAAUUCCACCUCUUAUGUUUUU